AUGCUCAGUGUAAAUUCUCCUGGAGCCUGUCAAGCUAUGUUUGAACUCGUUCCAGAAUAGUGGAUUUACUUUUUUUUCCCCACCAGGAAGAAUACUCGAUUAGACUGCAUUUUGCCUUGCCUUGCUUUUCCUUCUCCCUUUUUUUCCUUCUCCCUUUCUUUUUCUUUCUUUCUUUCUUUCUUUCUUUCUUGCUUUCUUUCUUUCUUUCGUUCUUUCUUUCUUUCUUUCUCUGUCUUUCCUCUUUCUCUCUUUCCUUCUUUCUUUUUUUUCUUCUUUCUUUCCUUCCUUCCUUCCUUCUUUCUUUUCUUUCUUUCCAUUUUUUUUCCUCCAGAAGAAUGGAAACAAUAUUCUUUUCCGAUCAGUUCAGUAAUACAAUGUCCUUCAGUGUCUAUAUGAGCAUUUCAGUGGAGAAGAAAAGAAACUUUGCUACCUGGGAACUGAAGACUGCUUAGGCAAAGAUGGGCUGUCUGGAAAGCUGGACUCAGCCUGGAGCAUGUUCCCCAGAUUGCUAUUUUGUGAAGGCUUCCGCAUACAAAUGACUCAGAUCCAAACAUUCAAAAAUGAUCUUGGAGGGCCAUCUGGUUCUUGCUGGUUCUAAAAGCUUCAUUCAGCCUGAAGUAUGGAUCCAGUACAAAAGAUAGUGAGAGCUGUUCAUUGAGGUUUAACAUGUUCCACUGACCGAGGCUAGAAGCUGGCUUUAAAAAAUAGCCGACACUGAUGCUCCAAGGGCCAAUUGCUGAUGCUUGUCACAGUGAAGACCCUGGUGUUACACAUCCAAUCGUUCACCUCCUUCCAAGACAAUGACAUUCCAGGAAACCUUCACUGCUAAGAGGAACUGAGAUCUAGAGUAUCUCCUUGAGGAAGUACAACUGACUUGUCUUUGGACAAAAUUGAGAAGAACUCAUAAACUUCGCUUCUUCACUUCUGCUCCUC
RNAcentral lists this long non-coding RNA (933 nucleotides) under Pongo abelii (Sumatran orangutan). Its description in RNAcentral is "lincRNA". The record is from RNAcentral. Lineage: Eukaryota; Metazoa; Chordata; Mammalia; Primates; Hominidae.